Acanthosepion pharaonis is the source of this 103-nucleotide non-coding RNA. Lineage: Eukaryota; Metazoa; Mollusca; Cephalopoda; Sepiida; Sepiidae. The record is from the annotation of a GenBank genome assembly.
UUAUGGCCAUAUCAUGUUGAAAUACCGGUUCUCAUCCAAUUACCGAAGUUAAGCAAAGUUGAAUUUGGUCAGUACCUCGAUGGGCGACCGCUCGGAAAAUCUA